GCGCACGCUGGCGGCAGGCCUAACACAUGCAAGUCGAACGAACCUUUCGGGGUUAGUGGCGGACGGGUGAGUAACACGUGGGAACGUGCCUUUAGGUUCGGAAUAACUCAGGGAAACUUGUGCUAAUACCGAAUGUGCCCUUCGGGGGAAAGAUUUAUCGCCUUUAGAGCGGCCCGCGUCUGAUUAGCUAGUUGGUUGAGGUAAUGGCUCACCAAGGCGACGAUCAGUAGCUGGUCUGAGAGGAUGAUCAGCCACAUUGGGACUGAGACACGGCCCAAACUCCUACGGGAGGCAGCAGUGGGGAAUCUUGCGCAAUGGGCGAAAGCCUGACGCAGCCAUGCCGCGUGAAUGAUGAAGGUCUUAGGAUUGUAAAAUUCUUUCACCGGGGACGAUAAUGACGGUACCCGGAGAAGAAGCCCCGGCUAACUUCGUG
Molecule: ribosomal RNA, 433 nt
Filed under: uncultured bacterium
Lineage: Bacteria
Description: partial 16S ribosomal RNA
Rfam family: Bacterial small subunit ribosomal RNA
Source: RNAcentral